Molecule: ribosomal RNA, 589 nt
Filed under: uncultured bacterium
Lineage: Bacteria
Description: partial 16S ribosomal RNA
Rfam family: Bacterial small subunit ribosomal RNA
Source: RNAcentral
UGGGGAAUUUUGGACAAUGGGCGAAAGCCUGAUCCAGCAAUGCCGCGUGUGUGAAGAAGGCCUUCGGGUUGUAAAGCACUUUUGUCCGGAAAGAAAUCCUUGGCUCUAAUACAGUCGGGGGAUGACGGUACCGGAAGAAUAAGCACCGGCUAACUACGUGCCAGCAGCCGCGGUAAUACGUAGGGUGCAAGCGUUAAUCGGAAUUACUGGGCGUAAAGCGUGCGCAGGCGGUUUGCUAAGACCGAUGUGAAAUCCCGGGCAUCCAAGCCUGGGAACUGCAUUGGCGACUGGGCAGGCUAGAGUAUGGCAGAGGGGGGUAGAAUUCCACGUGUAGCAGUGAAAUGCGUAGAGAUGUGGAGGAAUACCGAUGGCGAAGGCAGCCCCCUGGGCCAAUACUGACGCUCAUGCACGAAAGCGUGGGGAGCAAACAGGAUUAGAUACCCUGGUAGUCCACGCCCUAAAACGAUGUCAACUAGUUGUUGGGGAUUCAUUUCCUUAGUAACGUAGCUAACGCGUGAAGUUGACCGCCUGGGGAGUACGGUCGCAAGAUUAAAACUCAAAGGAAUUGACGGGGUCAUAGCUGUUUCCU